CCUACGGGUGGCAGCAGUCGAGAAUCAUUCACAAUGGGGGAAACCCUGAUGGUGCGACGCCGCGUGGGGGAAUGAAGGUCUUCGGAUUGUAAACCCCUGUCAUGUGGGAGCAAAUGAAAAAGAUAGUACCACAAGAGGAAGAGACGGCUAACUCUGUGCCAGCAGCCGCGGUAAUACAGAGGUCUCAAGCGUUGUUCGGAAUCACUGGGCGUAAGGCGUGCGUAGGCUGUUUCGUAAGUCGUGUGUGAAAGGCGCGGGCUCAACCCGCGGACGGCACAUGAUACUGCGAGACUAGAGUAAUGGAGGGGGAACCGGAAUUCUCGGUGUAGCAGUGAAAUGCGUAGAUAUCGAGAGGAACACUCGUGGCGAAGGCGGGUUCCUGGACAUUAACUGACGCUGAGGCACGAAGGCCAGGGGAGCGAAAGGGAUUAGAUACCCUGGUAGUC
RNAcentral lists this ribosomal RNA (446 nucleotides) under uncultured bacterium. Its description in RNAcentral is "partial 16S ribosomal RNA". It matches the Rfam family "Bacterial small subunit ribosomal RNA", at positions 338 to 795 of the family's 1533-position model. The record is from RNAcentral.